UUCGGCGCUUCAACUCAAACCAUCGCGUCCCUUACUGGCCGACCAUCGCGUUGCUUCAUCAAGAACGUGGCCAACCAUCACGUCCCUUCAUCAUCGCCACCGGCCAACCAUGGCGUUGCUUCAUCAACACCAAAUACACACGUUUAACUACCAACCGUCAAGCAACCAUCGUACCUCCUCGGCCGAACAGGCACAUACCACAACAUAAAUAUAAUAAACUCACAGGGUCAGUGGCUAUUACUGGUCGAUGUUCUAGGGUCUCUUUGCCGGAAAAUUUUCACAAAAUGAUGAAUUUUAUCUCUAAGUUCACCGUCCCCCCCCCCCCCCCAAUUCUGCAUAUACAGAGUUCAUGGUAAUGGCAAUCGAGAUUUGAUUGUUGAAGGGUGUUUCCCCCUUGGUGCAGGUUCGGAUGGUAUCCAAAGGUGUGUUUAUUUGAGACGUCAUUUUUGGUAGACCGGAUUUUAAAGAGGUUUGAGGAGAAGGGCAAAUUAAGGCUGUUAAAAGUGCAUUAAGGAUCGUUGAAGUUGGUUUUGGAUAUAUUUCUGGCGAACGAAGUUUUUAAUAUAAACCAAUAGAAACUUUCUUCGAACAGGUUUGAGAUGCGAAAACUUAUUUGUAGGAGUAUUUUCAAGUAUAGACCAGAAUCCAACAUGUUUUUAUAUUUCUUAGGGGGGUUUAUGUUAUGA
RNAcentral lists this long non-coding RNA (686 nucleotides) under Helianthus annuus (common sunflower). Its description in RNAcentral is "hypothetical non coding rna". The record is from RNAcentral. Lineage: Eukaryota; Viridiplantae; Streptophyta; Magnoliopsida; Asterales; Asteraceae.